Long non-coding RNA from Notolabrus celidotus (New Zealand spotty), 354 nucleotides. RefSeq lists it as uncharacterized. The transcript has 3 exons. Lineage: Eukaryota; Metazoa; Chordata; Actinopteri; Labriformes; Labridae. The record is from RefSeq and is a predicted model, not a curated record.
AACAGACAUACAUGUCAAAGAAACACGGGCCAGUGUUUGUGAUCAGAAUAUCUGUCAUAACAAAGCACUUCAGUGUCACAGCUUGUAACUUUCUGCUUGAGCUGGGCGUGGCGCUCAGGGUGAUUGUGAUGGUGGGAGGAUGCAGGCAGACGGGAUAGGUGGGUGGGCAUGAUGCAGUGGCACCUAAAGCCUAUUGAGUGCUGGAUGUGAUGGUUUGCACCCCGUGGUGCCCGGUACUGAUUUCCCCUGGACGUCCUCGGUAACAUAUGGGACCCAGGGCGGAGGUCCAAACAUGGAGCCUGCUCCCACUAUUUCAGGAAUCAACAGUGAAUUCAUGUAGCCUUGAAACACUCA